UAUUUCGCUGCGUGCUUUAUACUCAUGGGGAAAAUACCUCGGGGUUGUCCUAUGCCGUUUUAAGUACACUCUGGGGUCCUUCUCAUAACCACCUACCCCCCCUUUUCCCCCCGUCUAACUCCAGUGUCAACCUUGCAGCUGUUAUUUUCAUAUACUACAAAAGUCUCUUGCAUCGCCAUGACUCGUGCACAUCCCCCGGUCCAGUCUUCUGGAAGGGUGUGGCGUACGUCCCAGUCAGGACCACAGGCCCACCACAUGUCUGCUGGGGGAACAUAUUUGACCUUUGACCCAGCGUCGCAUAGGUAUUAGUAGUCUGAGCUGAACAUCUUUGACCUUUGACCCAGCGUCGCAUAGGUAUUAGUAGUCUGGUUGCCCACAUUGACAUUUAGUCAUUUAGCAGACGCCUUUAUCCAAAGCGACUUACAAGGAUGUAUACACAUUUUUACAUUUACACUGAUGGCACACUGCACAUCAGGAGCAAUUAGGGGUUCAGUGUCUUGCUCAAGGACGCUUCGACAGGGAAUCGAACUAGCAACCUUCUGCUUCCUAAACGACUUCUUUACCUCCUGUACCACUGUCGCCCAUUUAUACCAUGUAUUACCCUGGGCCUGUCUCCCCAGCUAGAAGGGUCCCUCUCCUGUUGGUAAAGAUGGAGAAGGCACGAAAGAAAAGAGAAACGCUACGAACAGCAUCAUACCCACCAGCGGCAGGAGCUUCUGGAGCCCCAGGUCUUUCCGGUUCUGCUUCCCGCUCCUGCUCUAGAUCGUUCCCUUCGGGAACACCCUCAUUUUUGGCAUGCAGCUCAUGCCCUGGCCUGGCUGCCGUCUCUCCUUCUUCCAGUGGCUCUGUGGCUCUGAAGGGGUAUUAAAGGGGGUACCACACCUCUGGUCCCUGCACUCUUACCGCCGUUUGAGUGGCUUCUGUCACCCUGUAUGAUCCCUCGGACCUUGGCUGAAGGCAAGACCUUUUGAACACCUUCAGGUACCCCCAGUCUCCUGGUUGUACUGGCCUUCUGAUUCCUGCCUCCAGGGCCGGUGGUGGUUCCUGCUGCUUCGCCUUCGUGUGUAAAUAACUUUUGUGAAUCAGAGUUGAUUGUUGCACAGAAUGGCAAAGUUCUUUUUUGGAACUGCUCCAGAGGGGGUCCCCUGCUUGGCUCCCUGAUCCGUGGGACUGGCAUUGGUCGCCCUGUAAGAAUCUUGUGAGGGGUGAGGUGUGUGCUGCGGUUUUGCUGCGAGCGCAUUUGCAUUAGAGCAAUGGGCAAAGCAUCCAGCCAGUUGAGGUAAGAGCCGGCACAGAUUUUAGCCAUUUUCAGCAUGGCAUUUGCUCUCUCCGCCAUCCCCUGACUUCGGGCAUCUUUCGCACUUACACAUGUGUAAGUUGCUCCGGUAUCUACCAUUAGUGAAAUUUCUCCGCCCCCAAUUUGAACCUGCAGCGUAGGUUCCUUUGCAGCUCCCCUUGAUAAAUUCGGAAACUGACCCUCCUCGUUAAGAUUCUCUCGCCCCCAUCAAUAGUAAUCGCCCCCCUAAGGGUCCGUUGGGUCCACCCUGCAUCGCAGAGCCGUCUCCCUUUACGGCGGGCAGCCAUUUUGUUGUAAGGCAACCAUUUUGUCACAGAAUCUAACUUGUUUUCAGAUGUCCAUGUCCCAGCGUCAGUAGUUUAAAACACAAUAAUCUCUCCACUUAAAUGGCAACAUCUGGAAAGUGACAACACCCAUACAUCUAAAACUGCUGAAAACAUCAGGAACAUUUAGCAUUUUUAGCUAAAAACAAUAUAAUUCAAUGCAACAUUCACAAAUACAUAUAUA
Clupea harengus (Atlantic herring) is the source of this 1804-nucleotide long non-coding RNA. NCBI's taxonomy places the organism in Eukaryota, Metazoa, Chordata, Actinopteri, Clupeiformes, Clupeidae. The record is from Ensembl.